This 435-nucleotide ribosomal RNA is filed under the name uncultured bacterium. Its description in RNAcentral is "partial 16S ribosomal RNA". It matches the Rfam family "Bacterial small subunit ribosomal RNA", at positions 28 to 507 of the family's 1533-position model. The record is from RNAcentral.
GAUGAACGCUGGCGGUAUGCUUAACACAUGCAAGUCGAACGGACUCUUCGGAGUUAGUGGCGGAUGGGUGAGUAACGCGUGAGAAUCUGGCUUUGGGUUCGGGACAACCACUGGAAACGAUGGCUAAUACCGGAUGUGCCGAGAGGUAAAAGAGAAAUUGCCUGAAGAUGAGCUCGCGUCUGAUUAGCUAGUUGGUGAGGUAAAGGCUCACCAAGGCAGCGAUCAGUAGCUGGUCUGAGAGGAUGACCAGCCAGACUGGGACUGAGACACGGCCCAGACGCCUACGGGAGGCAGCAGUGGGGAAUUUUCCGCAAUGGGCGAAAGCCUGACGGAGCAAUACCGCGUGAGGGAAGAAGGCUCUUGGGUUGUAAACCUCUUUUCUUAGGGAAGAACAAAAUGACGGUACCUAAGGAAUCAGCAUCGGCUAACUCCGUG